Molecule: ribosomal RNA, 422 nt
Filed under: uncultured bacterium
Lineage: Bacteria
Description: bacterial SSU rRNA
Rfam family: Bacterial small subunit ribosomal RNA
Source: RNAcentral
AGGGAAUAUUGGACAAUGGGGGGAACCCUGAUCCAGCCAUGCCGCGUGGAGGAAGACUGCCCUCUGGGUUGUAAACUCCUUUUAUAUGGGAAGAACCGUCCUCAUUGAUGAGUGACCUGACGGUACCAUAGGAAUAAGCACCGGCUAACUCCGUGCCAGCAGCCGCGGUAAUACGGAGGGUGCAAGCGUUAUCCGGAUUCACUGGGUUUAAAGGGUGCGUAGGCGGAUAUGUAAGUCAGUGGUGAAAUCAACGGGCUCAACCUGUUAACUGCCAUUGAUACUGUGUAUCUUGAAUAUGAGAGAGGUAGGCGGAAUGUUGCAUGUAGCGGUGAAAUGCUUAGAUAUGCUACGGAACACCGAUUGCGAAGGCAGCUUACUAUUUCGUAAUUGACGCUGAGGCACGAAAGCGUGGGUAGCAAACA